Long non-coding RNA from Myotis daubentonii (Daubenton's bat), 1254 nucleotides. RefSeq lists it as uncharacterized. The record is from RefSeq and is a predicted model, not a curated record. NCBI's taxonomy places the organism in Eukaryota, Metazoa, Chordata, Mammalia, Chiroptera, Vespertilionidae.
GUUGGCAACACAAGAUGAAGGACUGUUUUGUUCCCUAGUACCCAGGACAGAAUCUGGCACAUAGGAGAUAUCCUGUAAAAUAUCGGUAGAGUGCACGAGAGAGUGAAUUUGUGGAGCUGGGUGAACGGAUGUGGAGGGGCCGAUUUACAGCGAAGGUGAGAUCCAGCCUGUUAGAUCUGGCAUGCUCAAGAGACCUCAGACAAGGAGAAACAGAUGUGAAGAGGGCAGGCAAAUAUACUGAUGCAUUACUCGGGAGGAACAGAAACUUCAGAGAAACCCUAUUGGAAAUUUAACACCACCCACUUUGUAAGCAGUGGAGCCAGGAUUCAAAUCCCAGUCCAGUCAAGGUCCGAGGUGAGCUUCAUCAGGUCCCUCAGCGAAGAGAUGAAUCUACUUGUGGCAGAAAACACCCAUGAGCUUUACGGGAAGGGAUGGAACCUGCAACCCUGGAGCAUCAGGACGACAACCCAACUACCUAAGCACGCGGCCAGGGCUGGACAAGCUUCUUAACUAAUCUCCAAUUUGACUUCUGUGUUGUUCCCAGUUUUAUUCUAUCGAAAACAAUGCUGCAGUGGACAUUCUGCUACAGAGACCCCCUUUCACGUUUCUAAUUAUGUUCUUAGGAUGAAUUUCAAGGAGAGAAAUCAAGAAACAUGCACAUUUGAUGGCUUUUCAUCAGAGUGUCAAAUUGCCAUGCACAAGGGUGAUCAAUUUAUUCUCCAAGCUCACUCACAAUUAAGAGUGUCCACUUCCCUUCUCCAUACAAACCUAUGUGGGGGUAGUUAAAAAACAAUCAAUGGGCCCAGCCGGCAUGGCUCAGUGGUUGAGCGUCGACCUGUGGACCAGGAGGUCAUGGUUCGAUUCCCUGUCAGGACACAUGCCCGGAUUAUGAGCUCGCUCCCCAAUGUGGGGCGUGCAGGAGGCAGCCGAUCAAUGAUUCUCUCUCAUUAUUGGUGUUUCUGUCUCCCUCACCCUCUCCCUUCCUCUUUGGAAUAAAUAAAAAUGUAUUCAAACAAACAAACAAACAAACAAACACAAAACAGCCCUAGCUGGUUUGGCUCAGUGGAUAGAGCAUCUGCCUGUGGACUGAAGCAUCCCAGAUUCGAUUCCAGUCAAGGGCACAUGCCCCGGUUGCAGGCUCCAUCCCCAGUGGGGGGCGUGCAGGAGGCAGCCGAUCAAUGAUUCUGUCUCAUCAUUGAUGUUUCUAUCUCUCCCUCUCCCUUUCUUUCUGAAAUCAAUAAAAAUAUAUUAAAC